This 1262-nucleotide long non-coding RNA is filed under the name Macaca mulatta (Rhesus monkey). Its description in RNAcentral is "lncRNA (ENSMMUG00000047396.2)". The record is from RNAcentral. Lineage: Eukaryota; Metazoa; Chordata; Mammalia; Primates; Cercopithecidae.
GAAGUUUUAUUUGUAAUUGCCAAAACUUGGAUUGACCUUGGUCUUGUUGGCCUGCACUGUGGUCCUUCCUCCAUCCCAUCCCAUUUCCCCCUCCCUUUCACAGUAAUCAUGCCAUAGGUUUUCAGUCGGUAUUUAGGGAUGAGGUUGGACCUUUUAGAUUUCAGGUUGAGACAAAAAGACUGAAGGUUGCUAGUCAGUUGUUUUCCACCUGUCCAUGGUUGGUUUGGGUUUGCUGCAUAACUGAUCCAUUGACUUCUGUGGUGAUUGGCUGUGGGAUGGAACCAGCUAGACCAUGAGCAACCCCACAGCUGUGCCACUAGGAAGGCCUCAGAGAAAUUGCCUGUGCCUGUGAAGACGGGAAGCAGAUAUUGGCCAGGCACGGUGGCGCACGCCUGUAAUCCCAGCACUUUGGGAGGCCGAGGCAGGCGGAUCACCUGAGGUUGGGAGUUCGAGACCAGCCUGACCAACAUGGAAAAACCCCAUCUCUACUAAAAAGACAGAAUUAGCUGGGUGUGGUGGCGCACGCCUGUGUGUAGUCCCAGCUACUCGAGAAGCUGAGCAGAAGAAUUGCUUGAACCCGGGAGGCGGAGUUUGUGGUGAGCCGAGAUUGCGCCAUUGCAUGUGAGCCUGGGCAACAAGAGUGAAAUUCCGUCUCAAAAAAAAAAAAAACAAAAAAGAAAGAUAAAAGCAGAUAUUGAUCUGGGCCAGUGAAUCUCCAUAGUGGCAAAGCUUGAGGGAGUCUCCAUCUUCCUUCCUCAGGGACCUGCGGAGCUUCUGGCUCUUGGAUCAGCUGUGGGGCUUUCAUCAAUAUUUCUGUGUGGGGAUAUCCAUGUGGCCUUGGCACUAAUGGUAUACCAUCAAGUACCCCAGCGAACAUCCACACCCACCCACGGACUGGAAGCUGUCAGAGGCAAGGCUGGCCCACACCAUUGUUUGCACGACUGGUGUCCACAUAUACCCACUGCCUGUGUGCCGAGCUGAAGAACUGGGCCCCCCGGAGCUUCAUCACUGGCCACAUCACUCCGAGGCUCUGUUUCUCCAUCUGUCAAAUGAUCAUGAUGACAUCUACCCCCCAGAGUGGCUGUGAGAAUAAAGUCAGAUCAUGAGUAUGAAGAUGGCUAGUACAGUGUGUAUGUGUGUGUGUGUGUGUGUGUGUGUGUGUGUGUGAGAGAGAGAGAGAGAGAGAGAAGAGUGGAGGAGAGAGAAAAACUGGGGCAAGCCUGGACUGUGGAGGGCCAGGUGCCGUGAGCCUCCAGCACUUU